RNAcentral lists this ribosomal RNA (732 nucleotides) under Stenotrophomonas sp. 110602_136_C_B11. Its description in RNAcentral is "bacterial SSU rRNA". It matches the Rfam family "Bacterial small subunit ribosomal RNA", at positions 20 to 738 of the family's 1533-position model. Lineage: Bacteria; Pseudomonadati; Pseudomonadota; Gammaproteobacteria; Lysobacterales; Lysobacteraceae. The record is from RNAcentral.
UGGCUCAGAGUGAACGCUGGCGGUAGGCCUAACACAUGCAAGUCGAACGGCAGCACAGUAAGAGCUUGCUCUUACGGGUGGCGAGUGGCGGACGGGUGAGGAAUACAUCGGAAUCUACUUUUUCGUGGGGGAUAACGUAGGGAAACUUACGCUAAUACCGCAUACGACCUACGGGUGAAAGCAGGGGACCUUCGGGCCUUGCGCGAUUGAAUGAGCCGAUGUCGGAUUAGCUAGUUGGCGGGGUAAAGGCCCACCAAGGCGACGAUCCGUAGCUGGUCUGAGAGGAUGAUCAGCCACACUGGAACUGAGACACGGUCCAGACUCCUACGGGAGGCAGCAGUGGGGAAUAUUGGACAAUGGGCGCAAGCCUGAUCCAGCCAUACCGCGUGGGUGAAGAAGGCCUUCGGGUUGUAAAGCCCUUUUGUUGGGAAAGAAAUCCAGCCGGCUAAUACCUGGUUGGGAUGACGGUACCCAAAGAAUAAGCACCGGCUAACUUCGUGCCAGCAGCCGCGGUAAUACGAAGGGUGCAAGCGUUACUCGGAAUUACUGGGCGUAAAGCGUGCGUAGGUGGUUGUUUAAGUCUGUUGUGAAAGCCCUGGGCUCAACCUGGGAACUGCAGUGGAAACUGGACGACUAGAGUGUGGUAGAGGGUAGCGGAAUUCCUGGUGUAGCAGUGAAAUGCGUAGAGAUCAGGAGGAACAUCCAUGGCGAAGGCAGCUACCCUGGACCAAC